AGAGUUUGAUCCUGGCUCAGGACGAACGCUGGCGGCGUGCCUAAUACAUGCAAGUCGAGCGCAGGAAACCAGAUGAUCCCUUCGGGGUGAUUCUGGCGGAAUGAGCGGCGGACGGGUGAGUAACACGUGGGCAACCUGCCUGUAAGACUGGGAUAACUUCGGGAAACCGGAGCUAAUACCGGAUAGUAUUUCCUUUCUCCUGAUUGGAAAUGGAAAGACGGUUUCGGCUGUCACUUACAGAUGGGCCCGCGGUGCAUUAGCUAGUUGGUGGGGUAAUGGCCCACCAAGGCGACGAUGCAUAGCCGACCUGAGAGGGUGAUCGGCCACACUGGGACUGAGACACGGCCCAGACUCCUACGGGAGGCAGCAGUAGGGAAUCUUCCGCAAUGGACGAAAGUCUGACGGAGCAACGCCGCGUGAGCGAUGAAGGCCUUCGGGUCGUAAAGCUCUGUUGUUAGGGAAGAACAAGUACGAGAGUAACUGCUCGUACCUUGACGGUACCUAACCAGAAAGCCCCGGCUAACUACGUGCCAGCAGCCGCGGUAAUACGUAGGGGGCAAGCGUUGUCCGGAAUUAUUGGGCGUAAAGGGCUCGUAGGCGGUUUCUUAAGUCUGAUGUGAAAGCCCACAGCUCAACUGUGGAGGGUCAUUGGAAACUGGGGAACUUGAGUGCAGAAGAGGAGAGUGGAAUUCCACGUGUAGCGGUGAAAUGCGUAGAUAUGUGGAGGAACACCAGUGGCGAAGGCGACUCUCUGGUCUGUAACUGACGCUGAGGAGCGAAAGCGUGGGGAUCAAACAGGAUUAGAUACCCUGGUAGUCCACGCCCUAAACGAUGAAUGCUCGGCGUUUGGGAGUUUCCGCCCCUGACUGAUCAAAUUCAUUAAUUAUCCCAUCUGGCAGGUACGACCGGCCGGUUGAAACUCACUCGAAUUGGUUGAGGGCCGCCCAAGCGGUGGAGGAAGUGGGUGAAUUCAAUGAUACCCGCGGAAACAUACCUAGCCUAUAAUGACAUCCGAUUGCGGGUGAAAACACAAUUUGUUCCCUUCCGCUGCCGGUUGGGUGGUGGAGGGUGGUUGUCGGCUCGUGCCGUGAGGAGAUGGGGUAAUUCCUCCCGCGACGACAGCCCCCAUUGAUACUUGCUGUCAGGUAUCGCUGGGAACUCUUAUGAUGAUUGCCUCUGAAGACGCGAAGGAAGGUGGGAAUGACGUCAAAUCUUCAUGCCUCUUAUGACCUGGGUUACACACUUGCUACAAUGGAUGGAACAAAAGGUAGCACAGUCUCGAGGCUCACUAAAUCCCAUAACAUUAUUCUCAGUUCGAAUUGCAGGCUGCACCUCGCCUGCUUGAACUCGGAUUCGCUAGUAAUCGCGGAUCAGCAUGCCGCGGUGAAUACGUUCCC
Molecule: ribosomal RNA, 1397 nt
Filed under: uncultured bacterium
Lineage: Bacteria
Description: partial 16S rRNA
Rfam family: Bacterial small subunit ribosomal RNA
Source: RNAcentral